UACAAACUACAAAUGAACUUCCGCUUUCUUUUCCAUCCUGGAUCUCGACGAAGGACGGCAAGUAUCUUUGAUUUUCAUCUCUGGUUUUGGCUUGGUUUUCAAUUGAUCUCACACACACAGGUGACUGUUGAAUGUUUAGUUUAUUCUCCUCUUCCCUCUCUAUUGUGGUUUAAUAGCUAAAUGAUUUUAUUGAUCUUUCAUUGUGUUUUUUUAUUUGAAAUCGACGAUGAUAUAUUGCACUUUGCGUCAUGAAAGAAGAGACAGUGAGGGAGGAAUGAAUGGAAAAAUUGGAUGACCGCGAAUCAUCAUCGUCCAUUGAAAUCGACACCAGCCAUGUAAUCGUUAAUAGCGAUUAUGUUAUGUCGGUGGCGAACAUCGAUGAUACGGCCAACAAUAAUGUGGCGGUGGAGGUGGUGCUGGCGGUGGCGGUAGUUGUUGCGUGGACGGCGUUGAUCCCGAUUGCAACGAAGAGGAUUGUUGUACGGAAUGUUGAGGCGACGGCCCGACUGAAUAUAAACGGGGCUUACUGUCGAGCGAUCACCUGCAGCAGCACGAGUAACUUCAUUACAUGAAUCACGAUGUAUUCGCCGUGUCUCACGAAACAAGAGGAUACGGAUCGAGGAUGAUAUAUCGAUAUCCAUUUCACUGAUCUUGAUGACGCGUCACACGAUUGAGCGAAGCCGAUUGCUGGCGGAUCGAGUCGAUGAAAGGACGUAGACACAUUCGGAAUAAAACUCGCCAGUCAGUGGACAGAGAGCGACUGAGCGACCUUUGCCCCUGGUUUAUUCAGCCCUUCGCACCCCUUCUCUCUCCCACUCAUAGUCUCGGUGAUAUAUCGAAGAGGGAAAAAUUCUCACCGUUAAUCGUCGUUGACCACAAGUAUCAUCGACUGACUGACUCAUCGAUCAAGAAGGCGGACCUUCUCGAGCGAAGUCGCAUUUAACAAAAGUCAACAAGAAGACUUUCGGCAGUCUCCACCUGAAUUAAAUUUGAAUUAAGGUAACACAUUUUUACUUCGAUUGUUUGUUUUUUUUUUUGCACCAUAAUAAUUACUCCAAAAAUUUCGCGAAUGCGAUUCUUCUUUUACUUGCACUCACUUGUUAUUUUCAAAAAUAUAUAUACAACUUUCUUCACACUUUUAUUAUCACGAACAUUUAAACAAUUAUCUGUUUAUCGUCGAGAUCAAUCGAUCUCUAAUUACAAUAAUUUUCUCGCUCGCGAUACAAUUCUGUCGCACGUGCGUAAUAUCGAGUAACACCGUAGUUAUGUUGAAAUGAUCCUCCGGUCUGGCCAUCGUCGUCGGCGAUGUAAAUGAAAUGAAAUCACGGACGAGGCUGAGGGUCGGGCCUCAUCAGGCAACGCGAGGCAACCGAAGACCCGAUUGGCGAAAUAUGAAUUCCCAGAAUUCAGGGCCAUACAACAACUCAGCCACUCUCGAUCAAGUCGCUUUUGGCUCCAUGCUUUCGGCGCGCAUCGUCGACCGCUGAAUCACGCCUGAUUGCUCAUCUUACAUGCUCUUUCUUCUUUUCUUCCCGCCGAUUCCCACACGUUAAAGGAAUAUUACAUUUUCCGUAUCGUCGUUAAUAUAAUAAGAUAAAGUUAUCGCGAAUAAUUGCAUUUUCCAUCGUGGAUGCGAUAUAUUUCUCUCAUCUCGCGAUAUAACAAAAUUUAUUUCAAUGGCUAAAAACGUUCUUUUUCUUAUUCGAAUAAAAAUAUUUUUAUAUUUGCUUUAAAUAAAGAAGAAUCGUAUUUUUUGUUCUCUAAUGUACAACUUUGCUGCGUGCAUUUUGUAUCGGAGAAUAAUAAUUGCUAUUGUAGAUAUAUUAUCUUUGAAAUUUGCAUAAAAACUUUAAAUUUAUAAAAAGAAGUAUUAGUCAUUUUAGAAAGCGGAUGUAUAUAUGCACAAUAUACACCUAACUAUAUAUUAGGAUGCCAGCCGGUUUUUUUAUGGGAUAUGACUGUUAAUAUUCCAAGAAUAUUUCUCUCGUUUGAAUUAGUCAGAGUAGAAAUUAAUUCUAAAGAAAAAAAUUCAGAGCUUGUAAAGUAAAUUGGAUACAAACGUAGCCAUGAGGAAUCAUUAACUUCAAUUUUUUAUGCAGCAGAUAACGUUUAAAUAUUUAUUAAGACAUAAUGUAACGUUUUAAAAUAAUG
This is a non-coding RNA of Nylanderia fulva, 2151 nucleotides long. Lineage: Eukaryota; Metazoa; Arthropoda; Insecta; Hymenoptera; Formicidae. The record is from RefSeq and is a predicted model, not a curated record.